UCCCAUUUGAAUUUCCUUGUUUGAGUCUA
This 29-nucleotide non-coding RNA is filed under the name Rattus norvegicus (Norway rat). The record is from RNAcentral. Lineage: Eukaryota; Metazoa; Chordata; Mammalia; Rodentia; Muridae.